Thunnus maccoyii (southern bluefin tuna) is the source of this 2252-nucleotide long non-coding RNA. RefSeq lists it as uncharacterized. The record is from RefSeq and is a predicted model, not a curated record. Lineage: Eukaryota; Metazoa; Chordata; Actinopteri; Scombriformes; Scombridae. The transcript has 4 exons.
CACUGCGUCUGGAAAGGAUGUGCCGAGUACAAACGACAGCAGAAGAGAACAUUGGGUUAAUAAAUAGGUAAAUAAAUAACAAUUCCUGCUCUCAGGCAUCAUCCUGCAUGAGCUCACAGAGCCUCUAUUGCUAGCCAGUGACAGAUUGUUCAAUGAAGCUGUUCAUUGCGCUUGCAGCAAACAUAAAUGAAAUCAAAUUAUGGUAUUCUUCAUUUUUCUAGGACACUUCGAAAGCACCCGUGGCGCCUCUUUGGCCAUGCAGCUUUCACUGAGACCAUAUAGGAGAGACAAAAUGAUGAAACAAAAGAAUCAUUUUAUUUAGAGGCUCGAAAUAGAAGCUUGAUAGUCUUCUGGAAGUCUUCUUGUAUUUAAAGAGUCAGUGGGCAAUGGUUUUUUUCCGAUGCAACUCUGAACUGUCAGAAACAGCAGUCUAGCAUCCUCCCCGCUGAUAAUGUGAUGCCACAUAUAAUGAAAGUAAACAUAAUGAAAGUGCACCUGUUCAAAUUAACCAAAAUUUACAAGGUCACACUGAUACACUGUAGACACCACAUGACGCAUUUAAAGAGAUGCUAUCUACAAUAAACGGGGUAUGGAAGUGCAUUGCAUUCACACAAGAAAAAGAAAGUUAGACACCUUAUCUCAUAAUCAUGAGUUACUAUCUCAUAAUUACAAGACAAGAUUUCAUAAUCCCGAGAAAAGGUCUUGUUAUUAAGAGAUCAGGAUCUUGUAAUUGUGAAAAGUUAAGGUAGCCUAGUAACGUCACUAACCUAGGCUACAGGAUAAGACAAUAGGCAAUGAUGGCGCUAUCACAUUUAAUCUGCUUUUAUUUCCUUCUCGGUAUGAGACAUUGGGAAAUAUUAAUGUUACUUAAUGUGGAUGUGUUAAUAUUAGUAUGUCAACGUUAUACAGGCAUCUCAAGUCAUUAGGAUUGUUCAGGCGAAAAGCCCAGUCUAACCUGCUGGAAGUCGCUCUCUUCCUACAGGAGCAGUUAAACCAAUAAGGGUUCCUUCAUGGAUAUAAAUUCAAGCAUUUGAAAUACAUCCAAGCUGGCUUAGUGGUGUCACAAAAUCCUACAUCCUCAAGGAGUACAGCUGAGACUAUGGAGUCGUCUAAGACAAUGUCUAUACAGAAACCCAGGUCCUAACUUCUUGUGGCAUGUCAAUUCAUACGACAAACUAAAACCAUAUAUAUAUUUAUUAAUGGUACCGUUGACGGAUUUGCACGUAUGGUCACAUGGCUACAUGCGUAUCCACAAAUAGCAAUCCCAGGGUUAUUGCUGGUUAGUUCAUUGAUGAAGUGGAAAACAGGAGCACACCAUGUAACCAUGAAGACAAGUUUUCUGAGACAUGCUACGUUACCAGCUCAAGUAAUUGGAUUGAACAAUGGUGGGGAUUUUUAAGAAAACACUAUGAACAAUACUGGAUCAAUACAAGGUUUAAAGGACCUGGACCAUUGCUCAGGGGACUUCCUUGACAAAAAUCUAAUACAGUUCACAUGUCUGGAAUAAACUGAGUAAAACAAUACUGUUCGUUGUUGUACACUGCAGUAGUUGUUGGAUGCUGUAAUACUUUCUCCUAUCCAUGCUGUUCAUAUUUCUGACACAAUUCCAAUAGGAAGCUGCGGGAAGUUGCUCAUCUGUUGAACUGCCACAGAAUUCGCCUCAGCAGGAAUGCAGUUUCUCCAAGUGGACUACCACUAAUGAUGUACAGCCUUCCACCCCUGUUUGGCACUGCACGCUACCUCAAGACAGUAUUCCAUCAACAAAUACAAGCUUGUCGAGAGGAAUGCCUGCCAAGAGGCCCGCAUCCAUGUGAUGAGAGUGUUUUUGACAUUUGUUGCCUAGUAAUGUCAGAAAACAAUCUACACCCACCUACUACUCCAGAGGAAGGAAGAAGAGCCUACAUCCAUACUCAGCUUUAAUAGCUGUUCCCAGAAAGACAGCUGUGAACCGCACACAGAGAGCCAACUUUCAGAUGUGCCAGACUGCAGGACACACUAGAAAGCGAUUAUUAAUAUUUAAUUGUCCGGAAUUGUCCUGAAAUCUCAUAAUUGCAAUAGCAUUGUUCAUUUUUAUCUGAUCAAUGAAGAAACAUAUGUCUAAACAUAUGUCUAAAUGAUUCGUACAGUUUCUUGAAUGAAUGGUUCUGUAAUCAACGUGUUUUAGCUGGUAAAUGGCAAAGUUACCUGUAUUACAUCUGUUCUACAUGUGUUAUCAUCAUAUUACGAACUGUAUUAAAUGUCAUUAGGCAGAU